GAGUUUGAUCCUGGCUCAGGACGAACGCUGGCGGCGUGCUUAACACAUGCGAGUCGUACGAACGGAGGAGAGCUUGCUCUCCGAUGUUAGUGGCGAACGGGUGAGGAACACGUGAGCAACCUGCCCUCAGGUGGGGGAUAGCCGGCCCAACGGCCGGGUAAUACCGCGUAUUGCAUCGGGAUCGCAUGGUCCUGAUGUGAAAGCGGCCGCAAGGUCGCGCCGGAGGAGGGGCUCGCGACGUAGCAGCUUGUUGGUGGGGUAACGGCCUACCAAGGCUACGACGCGUAGCUGGUCUGAGAGGAUGAUCAGCCACAUUGGGACUGAGAUACGGCCCAGACUCCUACGGGAGGCAGCAGUGGGGAAUAUUGCGCAAUGGCCGCAAGGCUGACGCAGCGACGCCGUGUGUGGGAUGAAGGCCUUCGGGUUGUAAACCACUGUCAGGAGGGACGAAUACUCGGCUUCAAAUAGUUGACCGAGGGUGACGGUACCUCCAAAGGAAGCACCGGCUAACUCAGUGCCAGCAGCCGCGGUAAUACUGAGGGUGCUAGCGUUGUCCGGAAUCACUGGGCGUAAAGCGCGCGUAGGCGGUCCUGUAAGUCGUUUGUGAAAUCCCGGGGCUCAACCCCGGCGCUGCAGGCGAUACUGCAAGACUAGAGCUCGGUAGAGGCAAGUGGGAAUUCCCGGUGGAAGCGGUGGGAAUGCGUAGAUAUUCGGGAAGACCACCCGUGGCUGAGGGCGGCUUGCUGGGCCGAUGCUGACGAUGAGGUGCGAAAGCGUGGGGAGCAAACAGGAUUAGAUACCAUGGUAGUCCACGCCGUAAACGAUGGGUACUAGGCGCUGGGGGGAGCGACCCCUUCGGUGCCGUCGCUAACGCAAUAAGUACCCCGCCUGGGGAGUACGGCCGCAAGGCUGAAACUCCAAGGAAUUGACGGGGGCCCGCACAAGCGGUGGAGCAUGUGGUUUAAUUCGAUGCAACGCGAAGAACCUUACCUGGGCUUGACAUGUUCGUGAAAGCCGGUGGAAACAUCGGCCCCUCUUCGGAGCUCGAUCACAGGUGCUGCAUGGCUGUCGUCAGCUCGUGUCGUGAGAUGUUGGGUUAAGUCCCGCAACGAGCGCAACCCUCGCUCCCAGUUGCCAGCGGUUCGGCCGGGGACUCUGGGGGACUGCCGGUGUCAAACCGGAGGAAGGUGGGGAUGACGUCAAGUCCUCAUGGCCCUUACGCCCAGGGCUACACACGUGCUACAAUGGCCGGUACAACGCGUCGCCAACUCGCGAGAGUGCGCUAAUCGCUAAAAGCCGGUCUAAGUUCGGAUUGCAGUCUGUAACUCGACUGCAUGAAGUCGGAAUCGCUAGUAAUCGCGGAUCAGGUACGCCGCGGUGAAUACGUUCCCGGGCCUUGUACACACCGCCCGUCACGCCAUGGAAGCUGGGGGGACCCGAAGCCGGUGGGCUAACCUUCGGGAGGCAGCCGUCUAAGGUCAACUCAGUGACUGGGGCGAAGUCGUAACAAGGUAACC
This 1517-nucleotide ribosomal RNA is filed under the name uncultured bacterium. RNAcentral describes it as "bacterial SSU rRNA". It matches the Rfam family "Bacterial small subunit ribosomal RNA". The record is from RNAcentral.